CCCUUAGAUGUUCUGGGCGGCCCGCGCACUACAUUGGCACUCUCAAUAAGUUCCUAGAUCUAAAACUUUGGGGUAUUCUAUUAAGUGGUGUCGUGACUGGGAUUAACCCUUGCAAUUAUUGGUUACGAACGAGGAAUUCCUUGUAAUCACGGUUUAUCAGCCCGCGUUGAAUGCGUCCCUGCCCUUUGUACACACCGCCCGUCGCUCCUACCGAUGAAUCGUCCGGUGAAGUUCAUGGAGUGGUGGUUGUUCCAGCUGCUGUCGAAGUGAAAUGGACCUCACGAUUUAGAGGAAGGAGAAGUCGUAACA
RNAcentral lists this ribosomal RNA (309 nucleotides) under uncultured eukaryote. RNAcentral describes it as "partial 18S ribosomal RNA". It matches the Rfam family "Eukaryotic small subunit ribosomal RNA", at positions 1470 to 1796 of the family's 1831-position model. The record is from RNAcentral.